UAUAUUUUAGUGUAAGAUGCACGUAAAUUUUUGAUAUUUAACGAUACAGUUUAAUUCUGUGAAAUAUAA
RNAcentral lists this transfer RNA (69 nucleotides) under Endotricha consocia. Its description in RNAcentral is "tRNA-Gln". The record is from RNAcentral. Lineage: Eukaryota; Metazoa; Arthropoda; Insecta; Lepidoptera; Pyralidae.